UACGAAGGGGGGCUAGCGUUGCUCGGAAUCACUGGGCGUAAAGCGCACGUAGGCGGCUUUCUAAGUCAGGGGUGAAAUCCUGGAGCUCAACUCCAGAACUGCCUUUGAUACUGAAGAUCUUGAGUUCGGGAGAGGUGAGUGGAACUGCGAGUGUAGAGGUGAAAUUCGUAGAUAUUCGCAAGAACACCAGUGGCGAAGGCGGCUCACUGGCCCGAUACUGACGCUGAGGCACGAAAGCGUGGGGAGCAAACAGGG
RNAcentral lists this ribosomal RNA (255 nucleotides) under uncultured bacterium. Its description in RNAcentral is "partial 16S ribosomal RNA". It matches the Rfam family "Bacterial small subunit ribosomal RNA", at positions 524 to 777 of the family's 1533-position model. The record is from RNAcentral.